GGAGAUUAUGUAUCUGUUAUGGUGAAUGGGCCUUGUAAGUUUUCUACAAUAUCAGCUUAUUAACCCAUAGAGAGAGUGGCCAACUUCUAUCAUUGAAAAUAGUUGGUUCUUUUUGUACUUUCAGUUAUUAAUUGUUUUUCAAGAAACCGCCACUUGAUGGACCGCAUGUCUGCAUGCCUAACAACAAUGAUAAGAAAACUUUGAUGGAUUGCAUUGUUUUACAGCAGUAGUACAACACAUGGAAUUGUAAUGCAGGGAAUUCUGGAGCUGAGCCCUUUAUUGGUGCCCAUUUCAAGCACCCUUCAAUUGACUUUUUGGUCCAUAAGGUAAGUACCAAAAAAUAUUAUGUAUUGUUUUGUGUUUCUUUCUUUUUGUGGGAUAAUUGCUGCUUUGCCCUUAUAGUAUUAUGAAAUAUUAUUAGUCUGGUCAAUAAUUCAGGACAUUGGUGCAUAUAUGAGAAUCGGAUAUCUAAAGGUACAUGACCAACCGAGUGUCAAUGCUUUGUUUACACCAGAUUUAUUACAGCUAAUAAAAUAACAAAAUGCACUGAAAAAAGCACACAUGACACAACUAAUCCAUUUCAUACAUAAAUCCCUUGAUAAAACCUUGUCAAAAGGAGGACAUAUCGUGAUGUAUAAUGAAGUACAACAGUUCACUACUCCAUUUACAAUUCUGCACACUUAUCAUGAUGUAUAAGCCCAUCAGAGUUGGUCUCAGUUGUCCUUUUUCAAUAUGAUUGUAUAUUCUUCAUUCCUAAGGCCUUAGUUGUAUUUCAAGUUGUUAAAUAAGUAUCAACAUUAAGGCUGACUUAUAUUUUUUGCAAGGUCAAUUUAUUUGGUAAGGUCACUUUUCAGGAAUAUGAGUUUGUAGGACUUUUGAGUAGCCAUACUUAUUCUGCCUACUGGUUUUUCUAUAAGCUGUCGAUAUCAGGACUAAGGUUUCAGACAUGGUGACUUGAAACUUACAGUUGAGAAGAGCCAGAUAUUAAUGGGAGGAAGAACAAUACACUGACUUCUUCAUAAAAGCAAACACUGAUACAACACAUUAAGGAAUCAUUUCUCAUGUUAGUCCAACUUAAGGCAGAGUUCAACUCCAUUCCAACUGCUAAGAAACUGCUGCUAUGGUGGACAAGCUUUAGAGGGAAAGGAAUCUGUGCGAAGGUAUGGAGUAUUCUGUCCUAUGAUCUUCCUAGGUAAAUAGAGUUAUAAUAAGAUAUGAUCUGAUCUGUGUGUGUGUGGCAAACGAGGAAUCUGAGGUGUUUCUUCUCAUGUUUCAAAGGUUAUUGUGGCUGUAAAAGCAAAAAUCGAGCAAUGAACUGAAACAUUGAGCAAGAUUGAUGUACAAACAGUGGUAAUUGGUGCCUGUUAAGUGCAUAUUUUGGAUGUUCUGUUUUAGUGCGGAGGUCAGACUCUGAUCAGAUGUCUGCUGCUAUUAAAAGUUUUUGGUUCCCUCAGUUUUACCAGACUGUUCAUUUCCUGCACAAAGUGAUCAGGAGUGUAUAUAAC
Molecule: long non-coding RNA, 1505 nt
Filed under: Aquilegia coerulea
Lineage: Eukaryota; Viridiplantae; Streptophyta; Magnoliopsida; Ranunculales; Ranunculaceae
Description: long non-coding RNA (ACOE_LNC002348)
Source: RNAcentral